This is a long non-coding RNA of Hemicordylus capensis (graceful crag lizard), 999 nucleotides long. RefSeq lists it as uncharacterized. The record is from RefSeq and is a predicted model, not a curated record. Lineage: Eukaryota; Metazoa; Chordata; Lepidosauria; Squamata; Cordylidae. The transcript is spliced from 3 exons.
CCGCCCCGGUCUGCCAGCCCACCUGUCCUCCAGCCGCCACAGCAGCAGCAGCGCUUAGGGAGAGCACGAGAAUUCCCUCAUCAAACAGGUAGCCGCGGACACUGGAAGGGCCCGUCAAGGCGGGACUGACCAAUCGGCUCCUCAGGUUGCGCCAUGAAUUAUCCGAACAGCCAAUCAACCCGUCCGAGGGGCAGAACAUUCUGUUUGUCAGAAGCAAGGAGGAAGAAAACUUGGCGCGUUGUGAGAGUGGUGGAUUUCAAAGAGAAGAGAAAGAAUAUGGGGCUAGUUUUCUCUUCCUGUCCAAGACACUGUGGCACAAAAAAAUUAAGUGAGGAGAAAGGUCAGUAUCAAGCCAGCUAAAAUCUGCAGAUGAGAUGACCCUGCACCCUGCUGCACACAUGGUGUCAUCCAGUCCAAUUUCUGACCAAGAGGGAAGUGGCACCCUUAUUGCUUAAAGUUUAUUCCUGCUCCAGUUUGUUGAAGCGCUCCAGUGAGGAAAAUCACAACAUUCCUGAGAACCAUUUCUCAUACUUCUUGCAAAGUACUGGGCAUCUCCUUUGUACCUCUCCCACCUUACCUCUCAUCAUAUCUUAAUUUGCAAAAUAUAAUUAUGUUCUAUUUUUUCCUAAUGUUGUGUUUCCUUGUCCCCUUUUACACAAUUUGCUUUUGGUUUUCCUGUUUGCUGAAAUAGCAAGAAAGGUAUAAUUUGUCCUGAAAAGUUUAGUCCCAAGUACUUCUUUUAAAAAAAUAACCUUCUUUGCUCAGGAUUAGCUCCUUCACUUAAUUUUCAAGUGUUGCUAUAGUCAUGCUGCUAGUAAUCAUGUUAAUGAGUAAUGUAAGCAAUUGAGGCAGCUAAUCAAUGUAUCAGGGAUGAAAUCUUAAUUAAAAUGGUAUUUAACUCUAGGAAAUAAGAGCUUUGUAUAAUUUCUUUUAUAGCAGUCAUAUUGACUGUUUGGUAGAAUGUAAUUGUUUCACGUAUUUUUAUCCUAAUACAAAAGU